RNAcentral lists this ribosomal RNA (660 nucleotides) under Liolaemus etheridgei. Its description in RNAcentral is "partial 12S ribosomal RNA". It matches the Rfam family "Bacterial small subunit ribosomal RNA", at positions 72 to 1249 of the family's 1533-position model. The record is from RNAcentral. Lineage: Eukaryota; Metazoa; Chordata; Lepidosauria; Squamata.
CCUUAUUAAGCAACAAGGAGCAGGUAUCAGGCACAACUAUUUAGCCCAAAACACCUUGCUACGCCACACCCACACGGGCACCCAGCAGUAAUAAACAUUAAGCAAUGAGUGAAAGCCUACCCAAGCUCGACUUAGUUAUGAUCAUUAGGGCCGGUAAACCUCGUGCCAGCCACCGCGGUUAUACGAGGGGCCCAAAACAACAGAUAUCGGCGUAAAUUGUGGCUAGAGCACCUCUUACAACACUGAAAGACAAACGAAAGCCUGAUCGUAAAACCUAGGCCAAGAGAAACACAAACUUUCAAUUAUAAAGCAACUUGAACCCACGAAGACUAAGAAACAAACUAGGAUUAGAUACCCUACUAUGCUUAGUUGUUAAUAUGACACCAAAAAACACUAUUGUCCGCCAGAGAAUUACACGCGAAAAGCUUAAAACUCAAAGGACUUGGCGGUGCUCCGUAUUCGUCUUAGAGGAGCCUGUCCUAUAAUCGAUAACCCACGCUUUACCUUACCAUCUUUUGUUAAACAGCCUAUAUACCGCCGUCGCAAACUUACCCCAUGAGGGCACAACAGUAAGUAAAAUAGUAACACACUAACACGUCAGGUCAAGGUGUAGCUAAUAAGAUGGAAGAGAUGGGCUACAUUUUCUAAAACAGAACACAC